UUGAUACUCUCGGCUACAGAAUUCUCCACCCAGAUCAUCACAAGCCUCAGCGCAGAAAACCCUGCAUGUACGUAUGCGGAACAAGCGCAAACGAUAUGAAACCAUUGGUCAGAAAAAUGGUAGGAGUUAUUAUAUAUAAACUUGAACAGAGAU
Molecule: long non-coding RNA, 153 nt
Organism: Hibiscus syriacus
Lineage: Eukaryota; Viridiplantae; Streptophyta; Magnoliopsida; Malvales; Malvaceae
Exons: 3
Source: RefSeq, a predicted model, not a curated record